Long non-coding RNA from Lotus japonicus, 2063 nucleotides. RefSeq lists it as uncharacterized. The transcript is spliced from 2 exons. The record is from RefSeq and is a predicted model, not a curated record. Lineage: Eukaryota; Viridiplantae; Streptophyta; Magnoliopsida; Fabales; Fabaceae.
GAUUCAAUGGAUUUUUAGGAGAGCAAAGACUAUGUUCGUUGGCUGGCGAAAGGGGGGCGGGGGGGUAUUGGUAGUGAUGCUGGACCAGUUCGGUGGAAGCUCCCUCCUCCAGGUUCGUUCAAGUUGAACAUGGAUGGCUCUUUUCAUGAGUCACCGGCGUACGGGCUUUGGGGGGCUUGUGAGGGACUCCACGGGUGGUUGGGUGACGGGGUUCAUGGCUGCAAAGCUGUUGACGUUGAAGAUUGGCUUGCAAUUGCUGUGAGUUUGUGGUUUGCGGGUGGGUGUGUGUGAGGUUGAUUGCUUGGAAAUCAUUGAGAGUUUGCAAGGAAAUUGAGUUGACUUCCAUGAACUUGCAACUGAGUUGUGGAAGUGAGGAGUUUGCUGCAUAAGGAGUGGGAUGUACAGCUCUUGCAUAUUCCAAGGAGUGCUAAUUAUGCUGUGAAUUGUCUUGCCGGUUUAGGAGUCAUUUGUCAAUGUGCGCUGCUCCGCCUUGAGGUUCCUCUUGUGGAAGUUAAUCUCAUCUUGGCUAAGGAUCUGUUAGCUUUUUAGUUUUUCUUUUCUUUUAUUUAUUUUCCGAUGUACCAAAAAAGAAAUAGAAAAUAGAAUUUAAAAAUAGUCAGAAGAGAAAAUAAGAUAAGAUUGAUUAAAAAAUAGAUAAGAUUAUUGAAUAAAAAAUAUUAAAAUACCAUAAAGGUUAUAGAUAGCUACAAAAAACAAAAGCAACCUAUCGCAAUUAUUUAACUUAUGAUGUUGUCAUCUUUUGUAUCAGGACGCUGAGGAGGCUUUAACCUCGCUCCUGUUAUUUAACGUUGUUUCGCUUCUAGGGCCAUGCCCCUCCAUGUUAAAAAAAAACUUAAAAUUUGUAAUAAUUAAAGUUUAAUUUUUAUUAUUUAAUAAUAUAUAAAUGAUACUUAAACAAAUUAAUCAUUAUGAGCUACACACAUGACACAUACACACCACCAAUGCUAAAACCCAGUAGACGAAUAUAACCUAAAUCCUUUAUUCUCUUAUUUUGUACAGCAUAAAGCAAAAAAGGUCAAGAGCAGCGGAGGAGGUAAUUGAAAGCAUAGACAACUUACUGGAGAUCCUUAUUCGUCUCCCGUUGAAACUCCUUCUACGAUUAGUGUGUCUUGAAGCAAUGGUUGACACUCAUCUCUGACCAACAAUUUCGUGACCCUCACUCUCUUCACCAACACCGACGCUACCCCACUUCCUAUAUUUUCCCCAAAGAGGUGAAUGAUGGCCCAUCACAAAUCAUUUCCUUCACCACCACCACAACUCCAACCCUCAAUGUUUAUUAUCUUGAUUUCUCCAAUCGAUCCAAAGUUAUAGUCAUUGUUCGUUCGUGCAACAACCUUCUUCUCUGUCGUGAUUAUAACUUCAACUACUUCAUUUGCAACUCAAUAACCGAAGACUUCAUCACUCUCACUUUGCACGGGCACCCAUUCAGAUUAUGCCAGAUAUUUUUGCCUCUAAACCAUUUGGACUUGAACUGGAUGCUGCUAAUGGGGUUUAUUGCAACGGUGCCAUUCAUUGGUGCAACAAAGGUGAUUUUUCCGUGUGUUUUGAUGUUGUUAAUCAGAGCCUUAAAAAUUUCUCAAUGCCCAUGUCUAAUUCAGAAUGGUAUGGAUGAUUCAUCCAUUGUUUUGGGGAGUCGAGGGGUCGUUUGCAUAUGAUGGUUGACAAUAGAGGUGAGUUCUUAAUGUAUGAUAUUUAUGAGUUGAAAGAAGAUUACACUGGAUGGUUAUUGAGACACCGUGUUGACCUCCUUAAUCCCCUGCGAGUUGCAUAUCCAAUUGACUGGUUAUUGAGACACCGUGUUGGCUUUCACAUUUCUAGCACAGUAAAAGGCGAUAAAUUAUCAAUGUUGGUGUUGAUUAUUGUUGUUGAAGGUAAACAUAAACUAGAAGUACUUCUCUAUGAUCUUGUGGAUAAAAACUUCAACAAAGUUAUGUAAUCCGGAAAGGUCUUCAGUACGUAUUUUCAAAAUAUUGCACUUGUAGAAGCUGCUGAUAAAUGAUAAGAUUUGCUCAUAAAAUGCAAGGCAUUCUUUGUGUUUUUCA